RNAcentral lists this ribosomal RNA (416 nucleotides) under uncultured bacterium. RNAcentral's name for it is "bacterial SSU rRNA". It matches the Rfam family "Bacterial small subunit ribosomal RNA", at positions 362 to 776 of the family's 1533-position model. The record is from RNAcentral.
UAUUGGUCAAUGGCCGAGAGGCUGCACCAGCCAAGUCGCGUGAGGGAAGAAUGUCCUAUGGAUUGUAAACCUCUUUUGUCAGGGAGCANAGUCACCCACGUGUGGGUGUUGGAGAGUACCUGAAGCACAAGCAUCGGCUAACUCCGUGCCAGCAGCCGCGGUAAUACUGAGGAUGCGAGCGUUAUCCGGAUUUAUUGGGUUUAAAGGGUGCGUAGGCGGGUUAUCAAGUCAACGGUAAAAUCGUGGAGCUCAACUCCAUCCAGCCGUUGAAACUGAUGAUCUUGAGUGGGCGAGAAGUAUGCGGAAUGCGUGGUGUAGCGGUGAAAUGCAUAGAUAUCACGCAGAACUCCGAUUGCGAAGGCAGCAUACCGGCGCCCGACUGACGCUGAAGCACGAAAGCGUGGGUAUCGAACAGG